AGUGAACGCUGGCGGUAUGCCUAACACAUGCAAGUCGAACGGCAGCACAGUAAGAGCUUGCUCUUACUGGUGGCGAGUGGCGGACGGGUGAGGAAUACAUCGGAAUCUACUUUUUCGUGGGGGAUAACGUAGGGAAACUUACGCUAAUACCUCAUACGACCUACGGGUGAAAGCAGGGGAUCUUCGUACCUUGCGCGAUUGAAUGAGCCGAUGUCGGAUUAGCUAGUUGGCUGGGUAAAGGCCCACCAAGGCGACGAUCCGUAGCUGGUCUGAGAGGAUGAUCAGCCACACUGGAACUGAGACACGGUCCAGACUCCUACGGGAGGCAGCAGUGGGGAAUAUUGGACAAAGGGCGAAAGCCUGAUCCAGCCAUACCGCGUGAGUGAAGAAGGUCUUCGGGUUGUAAAGCCCUUUUGUUGGGAAAGAAAAGAAGCAGGUUAAUACCCCGCUGUUCUGACGGUACCCAAAGAAUAAGCACCGGCUAACUUCGUG
This 492-nucleotide ribosomal RNA is filed under the name uncultured bacterium. Its description in RNAcentral is "partial 16S ribosomal RNA". It matches the Rfam family "Bacterial small subunit ribosomal RNA", at positions 29 to 507 of the family's 1533-position model. The record is from RNAcentral.